CCUACGGGGAGCUGCAGUGGGGAAUAUUGGACAAUGGGCGAAAGCCUGAUCCAGCCAUGCCGCGUGUGUGAAGAAGGCCUUCGGGUUGUAAAGCACUUUCAGUGGGGAAGAAAGCCUUGGGGCUAAUACCCUCGAGGAAGGACAUCACCCACAGAAGAAGCACCGGCUAACUCCAUGCCAGCAGCCGCGGUAAUACGGAGGGUGCGAGCGUUAAUCGGAAUUACUGGGCGUAAAGCGCGCGUAGGCGGUCUGAUAAGCCGGUUGUGAAAGCCCCGGGCUCAACCUGGGAACGGCAUCCGGAACUGUCAGGCUAGAGUGCAGGAGAGGAAGGUAGAAUUCCCGGUGUAGCGGUGAAAUGCGUAGAGAUCGGGAGGAAUACCAGUGGCGAAGGCGGCCUUCUGGACUGACACUGACGCUGAGGUGCGAAAGCGUGGGUAGCAAACAGGAUUAGAUACCCCAGUAGUC
This 465-nucleotide ribosomal RNA is filed under the name Vreelandella stevensii. Its description in RNAcentral is "partial 16S ribosomal RNA". It matches the Rfam family "Bacterial small subunit ribosomal RNA", at positions 338 to 795 of the family's 1533-position model. The record is from RNAcentral. Lineage: Bacteria; Pseudomonadati; Pseudomonadota; Gammaproteobacteria; Oceanospirillales; Halomonadaceae.